AAAAACCCACUGCUGCAGCAAGAGAAGAAUUGAAACAAUCAAACAGAAGGGAAAUUUAGCGAACCUAAAUUAAAAGAUAAGCUCACACUAUCACUACCGGUUCCAAGGAUUAUAAUAUGGCAAUCAGCUUCUACUUCCCACCAAAACCAAUCCCCAACAUUCUCUAAUAAUCAUCAUACAAACACGCUCCACAAUUUCAUGCAGCAUAUCCAAUUUUUACUACCUUUGACAAUCCAUAUCUAUAGAUAUGCAAACUAGCGUGUUGACGCUAAACCCCCAAAGCAUUUAGACCACAGACUAGAAAGAGUGGGGUUCCAUAAUGACAAAAUCCAAAUCAACAAUUCUCAAACUCA
This 353-nucleotide unclassified non-coding RNA is filed under the name Hevea brasiliensis (rubber tree). Lineage: Eukaryota; Viridiplantae; Streptophyta; Magnoliopsida; Malpighiales; Euphorbiaceae. The record is from RNAcentral.